Pelobates cultripes (western spadefoot toad) is the source of this 664-nucleotide non-coding RNA. The record is from the annotation of a GenBank genome assembly. NCBI's taxonomy places the organism in Eukaryota, Metazoa, Chordata, Amphibia, Anura, Pelobatidae.
AUUACCCACAUCAUAAUUCCUUUCAGCUUUGGACAUUUGUCUAGAAAAGAAGCCACAAGGAUGCAAUGGCCUUUCAGGCGAUUCUCUUUGGGACAAAACAGCACCUACCCCGAUUUCAGAAGCAUCAACUUCAAGAAUAUAAGGCAGUGAGGGGAUAGGGUGCUGUAAAAUAGGUGCAGAGGCAAAUGUAGUUUUAAGAAAGUCGAAAGCCUGAAGUGCCUCGGGAGACCGGACACGAGUAUUACCACCCUUUUUUGCCAUACGGGUGAUAGGUGCUACAAUAGACGAAAAACCCUUAAUAAAGCGUCUAUAAUAGUUAGAGAAACCAAGAAAACGUUGAAUUGCUUUCAAGCCCUGUGGUAGAGGCCACUCUAUGACAGCAGAAAGCUUCUGGGGAUCCAUACGAAACCCUUUGGCGGAAAUCAAAUACCCCAAGAACUGGACUUCGGAUUGGUCAAAUAAACAUUUCUCUAGUUUACAAUAAAGACCAUUAGUAAGAAGGGUCUUCAGGACCGUUGUGACAUGUCUGUGAUGAGUGUGCAAAUCUGUAGAAUAUAUCAAUAUGUCGUCCAAGUAUACAAUUACAAAUGUGUGAAUAAAGUCUCUUAGGACGUCAUUAAUAAAUUCCUGAAAUACUGCUGGGGCAUUGCAAAGACCAAAUGGC